GAUGGGCAUGGUGGUGCACACCUAUAAUCCCAGCAACGGGAGGCUGAGGCAGGAGGAUAACUUGUGAUCCAACCUCAGCAACUGAGUGAGACCCUGUCUCAA
Molecule: small RNA, 102 nt
Filed under: Marmota monax (woodchuck)
Lineage: Eukaryota; Metazoa; Chordata; Mammalia; Rodentia; Sciuridae
Source: RNAcentral